UUAGAAAGGUACUGUGUUAGCAAAACGAAGGUCAUUAAUUAAAAGGUGAAUAUAAUUUAGAGCCCCUUGGCACCCACCCAGUAGAAACAGCUUAUGGAAGCUCUAGCCCUCGAGCUCUGCCAAUGCGAGAUUGCCCGUUGCAAAAAAAGCAAUCCACUUUGCAGUGCUAAACGGCCUGCAAAUUCUUAACGAGAAAAGUAUUCAUAAUUCUCUAAUGUAAAAUUCUUAACAGCACUUCCCAAGGAGUCAAAAAGAGAAAAGUAGAGUCAACUUCUGAUUUCACAGUUGCUUUGUUCUUUUUCUUAUUGCCUUUGUUUUCUUCUUCCUCUAUUCUGCUGUGUGUAAUACUGUGCUAAUCAUUGCGGAUAUCCUGAUCUGAACUCACUCUUAUCUAUUGACAACUACAUUUGGUCCUUGCGUUUCAAAUUACAAUAUUUGUUUUUUUCUUUUUGUUUUUUCAAUUUACAAGAGGCAGACAACCGAUUUG
This 487-nucleotide unclassified non-coding RNA is filed under the name Hevea brasiliensis (rubber tree). The record is from RNAcentral. Lineage: Eukaryota; Viridiplantae; Streptophyta; Magnoliopsida; Malpighiales; Euphorbiaceae.